AAUCACGUGACCUCCAAUUAGCCCCGAGAUCCGGAAGCAGGAAAAAAACUGAGGAGAAACAGAAGACUUGGACAGGUUGUCGUCAAGACUUUGGAAUUUAGCGAAACAUGUUUCCUUGAUACCGCGGAGAAGGCCUCUAGUUGGAAUGACCUGAAUGGACAGAAGAUUCCCAUUUUGUCACACCUGAAGCAAGCAUGGCCAGCAAGCAGCUCACUGCUGAGGAGGGGGCGGGCAGUGGUAGUGGCACUGAUUCUCCUACUCCAUCAAGGAGACUAGAGACAACCUUUGGACCAGGUUAUUCCACAGUCACAACACUGGUAGCUGAGGGCUCACCAAACUAUCCAUGGCAGAAGUCCCAGUCAUUUGACAGUGAUAAUGAAGAAGAAAUGUCUGAUGAGCCCUUGGUGUUUACAGAGACACCCUCAUCCAAGUUGUUCUGCCUGUUGUGUGAGAGGGUCUUUAAAGAUGCUGUCAUCACAACAUGUGGGCACACUUUCUGUAGGUGGUGCGUCAACAUGAAGACAAAUGAAAAGUGUCCGGUGGAUGACAGUAAGCUGUCGGUGGUGGUAGCAAACAUCGCAGUAUCGGAGCAGAUCGGAGAACUCUUCAUCCACUGUAAAUAUGGCUGCCAGCAGGCGGACGGCGGCAAGAUGGGGGAGUGGGAGCUGGACCCCAGGGGCUGUCCCAUGACCGUCAGGGUGAACGCCAGAAAGGAGCAUGAGGCCUCCUGUGGAUACGCACCAGUGUCAUGUCCUAACAACCCCAACUGUCCCCCUCUGAAGAGAAUGGAACUUGAGGAACACUUGAAGCAGCGUGACCAUAUCAGAUGUCCUCACCACAAGUAUGGAUGCACAUUUGUGGGCACCAGUGGUGAUGUGUCCCACCACCUGACUAACAUCUGCAGGUUUGAAGGCAUUAAGGAGUUCCUGCAGCAGACGGAGGAUAAGAUGCGUGAGAUGCAGCUGCAGCUGGCGCAGAAGGACCAGGAGAUCGCCUUCCUCAGGUCCAUGCUCGGCAGGCUCUCCGAGAAGAUUGACGCACUCGAGAAGUCCGUGGAGGUCAAGCUGGAUGUGUUGGACGAGAGCUGUAAUAAGCUUCAAGAUGAAGUCAUGGAGUCAAGAAGAGACUGUGCCCUGAUCAAUGUAAGUGAUGAGCUCUCUCACAUCAAUGCAAGAUUGAACACUGGAGUUGUAGGAACUUUGGAUCCUCAACAGAUCUUCAGAUGCAAGGGAACUUACGUUGGUCAUCAGGGACCUGUGUGGACACUGUGUGUCCAUGGGGAUCUGUUGUUCAGUGGAUCCUCUGACAAGACAAUCAAGGUUUGGGACACAUGCACCAACUACAAGUGCCAGAGAACAUUGGAGGGACACACAGGCAUUGUGUUAGCCCUCUGUAUCCACAAGUAUGGACCUCCUCAUGGCAACAAGUUGUACAGUGGCUCUGCUGACUGUUCCAUCAUGGUGUGGGAUAUCCCAUCGCUGGAGCACAUGAAGACUAUCCAGGCCCACGAUAACCCAGUCUGCACCCUGGUCGCUUCCAACAACCUGCUCUUCAGCGGCUCACUCAAGGCCAUCAAAGUCUGGGACAUCCACACCCUGCAGUUGAAGAGAGAACUAACAGGACUGAACCACUGGGUGCGAGCCCUGGUGGCCUCCACACACUACCUGUACAGCGGGUCCUACCAGACCAUCAAGAUCUGGGACCUGAAGAGCCUGGAGUGUGUGCAUGUACUGCAGACAUCAGGAGGCAGUGUGUACUCCAUUGCCAUCACCAACCACCACAUACUAUGUGGCACCUACGAGAACUGCAUACAUGUGUGGGACUUGGAUACCCACGAGCAGAUCCAGACCCUGACAGGACAUGUGGGCACAGUCUACGCACUGGCUGUGGUCAACACUCACGAGGGGACCAAAGUCUUCAGUGCCUCCUACGACAGGUCACUGAGGGUGUGGAGCAUGGACAACAUGAUCUGCACACAGACGCUGCUGCGUCACCAGGGCAGCGUGGCCUGCCUGGCUGUGUCCAGGGGAAGGGUGUUCUCUGGAGCUGUCGACAGUACAGUCAAGGUGUGGCAAUAGCCACCAGGGGGCGCUGCAACACUGAGGGAACCUUGCACCAUCAAUCCAUUAUGAAGAGGGUGGACAAAUUUCACAGAGAUCUAUUUUCCUACAAACAAGAGAUGAGUAUUAGACUAUACAUGGUGUAUGUAUAUAUGGUCGCUCUAUUGAGAGGAGGCAACAUGUUAUCAUUUGUCAGCAAAUAACGUCAAGGGACGGAGGUUGCAAUUUCUUUCUUCCAGACACCACAGUCAGGGGCCUUUUAUAUACCGACAACACAGGAGCAAUCUCCAUCCUGACGGUGAUUUUAUUCCCAGUCCUUUUCUACAUGUAUUUAGGGAGAGGUGAGUCUUUUUAAGUAAGGUAGGAUGCAUCCAGAAAUAUAAAAAAGAGAUAGCCACGGGGGCAAACUCUCCUACAGCAAAUUUUCUUCGCACUCGAGUGUUGCAAUAGCUCCAAGGCAGGGGAACCAGUUCUGUUACGGCAAUCGAUCGGCAUGGGGCAUCGUUUGGGUAUAGAUAGAAGAGCUAUGGGUGGUUGAGAAAUGCAGAAAAUCGUUGCCUCAGGAAUAUUCUGGGCACGUCUGUCCAAAGCUCUGCUGAGGAAGGUAGCAGAAGGCAGUUGUACAGUAUGGUAGAGUUCUAAGCAGUGCAGGCCAUGACCAAGGUGUAUUCUUGUCUACAAUGGCUUACUGCUAUUAUGGUUUUAAAAGGUGACAAGUUGUCGACCCAACAAUAGAAUUUCUUGUAUAGGAAAGGGGCUUUUAAUUUCAAAACACGUAAAAGUAUUUAGAUUUAUUCAGACAAGCUUAUGCAGUCAUUUUAGGAAAUUAUAACUAUAUACAACAAAUGUAUAUCUAUAUUGUAAUUUUUAGGUGAGGAUUUUACUUAUGUGCCAUGGCAUGGCAUUUUAAAAGAGUGGGUACAUGUAGCUCCUUCCUGUACUGAAAAAUCAAAUGUUUCUACACUUGUACAAAUUAUAUGUUCUGAAGGAGGAUUGUGAAUGGCUUAUAUAACUAAUGCUAGGAGGACUUGGCAAAGAAGAGGUGCCCGUUCUUAGCAAUAGGGGUUUACUACUAAAAGAAAUGCCAACAUUUCUAUAUCAGUGUUAGUAAAAAGGGUAUUCACUGUAUGCUAUAUCACAUGGUGAAUACUCUACCAACCUAAAAGGUACCCGUCUGUAGAAGUAAAUGGCUAAAGCUCUAAAGUGGAAAGGAUGAAAGUGUAAAAAUAGUGAAAUUUGCAUAAACCUGUCACUAUGGGAACAGUGUAUGUACAUCAAAGCUUAUUUAGAGAAGUGCUGUCCGACUUAUAUAGCAUGCUAUAGCCAGAAAGGAAACCGUCACUUAAGAUUUGGCUGGGAUUAUUGAAGUGUAUGUACACAAAAUUAAAAGAGGGAGGGGCUGUCAGAAAUGUUUGUAUAACCUACUUCCCAGCAGUGAAAAUGCCCUUAAAUCAGGAGAAAAUGUAGCAUUAUAACAAAGGGCUCCAGCACUAACGAAUAUGUUUGUACUGUUAGUUUUACCAAAAGGCAGGGCUAUAGAGCUCACACUACUACAGUAGCUCAGAUCACCAAACUAGGUGAAGACUUCUCGUCAAUGUAAUGGCUUGGGUUGCAGCUUGCAUUUACAAAGUCUGCUUGUUAACAGGGCAGCUUCAUGUAAACAAGAAAGAAAACAGAGAGAGUUCUUUCACUAUUGGGAUAAAGUAAAGUACACCUUUGACAAUCAUAGUUUUUAGUUUAGCCACACUGAAAUAACAAUGCUUACUGUGGUAGUAAAAAGUAAUCUGUAAUGUAAAACAACAGCACCUACUGUAACAGCACAUGUAUAACUACUGUCUUUUUAUUUACCAAAUUAAUCAGACUUGAUUAAUACCAGUAGUUUGAUUUGAAAGAGUGUUAUACAUGUAAGUGUACCAAAUGGCUAGAAUGGCAAAACACUUGAAUAGUAAACCGUCUGUAUCAGUGCAUCUGCCAAUAUGUAUGGCUAUGGCAGGUAAAUUCUACAUCACACAUUGAAGAGUGGAAUGUUAAAUGACCUACAAGUUGCCAUCUUAUCCAGUUGUACAGAUUUAGUGUUGUACAUAAGCGUAUCGAGUUUUAGCCUUGACGUCGUCAGUAAGGUUUCUUUUCCAAGGGCUCCAAGUACCUGUACCUGUAACUCUCCCUCAGGUGAACCUAUGUUUUGAAAUCCCAACCAUCAGGAGAUCCUUCUGUAAAUAGUUUUUACCCAAAGCCCAAAUAGAUACGAACACAUGGACCUGUAUAUGGUCACUUUCAAAACUUCCAUCUUUGUGCAGAGAGACUUUAACUAUGUACCCUGUUAAGAAGCAUGUGUACAUUGAGAAAUUGAAAUGAUAUAGUCAUCUUGUGAAACAGAACUAUAGAAGUUCUCCCAAAAUCGAUGUCUACAGUAUUUUAGGGGUAAGGUUGCUUUUUUAUGAUUAUGUCUGCAUUGGUAAGAGGUGGGAGCGGUUGUCUCCUGUGAUGUAAAUUGAUUCACUAUCUAUUUGGCAAAGAAUACUGUGCCAAAAACAGCUAUGCCAUAAUAAAAUACCUCAUCAUAUAUU
RNA transcript from Branchiostoma belcheri (Belcher's lancelet), 4627 nucleotides. It is a transcript of the gene named E3 ubiquitin-protein ligase TRAF7-like, with no coding region annotated. The record is from RefSeq and is a predicted model, not a curated record. NCBI's taxonomy places the organism in Eukaryota, Metazoa, Chordata, Leptocardii, Amphioxiformes, Branchiostomatidae. The transcript has 24 exons.